CCUGAGARACCCGAAAGAUCGAAUGAGGAGAUUCAUCGUCAGCAUAAGUGAUAUAUGUAUGAAUUAUGAUAUGGGCUUAUUUGAAUUUAUUUAAAUAAUUCUCAUACAUGUUUGUAUUAUUUUAUUGUCAUUUAUUGCCGGCGUGCACUUCUCCUCUAGUAGAACGUUGCGACCCGUUGAGUGUUGGUCUACGGCUCGGCUGGUUUUGUCUUUAAUAUCAUUUAACGAUGUUUUAUAUUAAAAUCCACUGAUGCUUCCUGACUGACUGCUCGGCGGUAUUCAUAUGGUAUUGAGUCGCAAUUAUUAAAUAUAUGCGUCAAAUCCAAAACAAGCGUGGUUCAUAUAUAUUGUAUACGGACUUAGUUGCCGUCACUUGUAUUGGCCCGCUGUUAGUUUUGGGCAAUUAUUUGACUGGCUCAUAAAUAAUACCGGUCAGCGACGAUACUGCUUUGGGUACUUUCAGGACCCGUCUUGAAACACGGACCAAGGAGUCUAACAUGUACGCAAGUCAUUGGAAUAAUAUUUGAUUAUAUAAAUCUAAAGGCAAAAUGAAAGUAAAGGUUAUCCUUGUGAUAACUAAGGGAGGAUGAAUUAUAUUGUGGUGUGAUUUCGCACUCCCGGGGCGUCUCAUUCUCAUUUAUGAGAAGAGGCGCACCCAG
This 659-nucleotide ribosomal RNA is filed under the name Meteoridea sp. RDB-1. RNAcentral describes it as "eukaryotic LSU rRNA". It matches the Rfam family "Eukaryotic large subunit ribosomal RNA", at positions 386 to 798 of the family's 3401-position model. Lineage: Eukaryota; Metazoa; Arthropoda; Insecta; Hymenoptera; Braconidae. The record is from RNAcentral.